This is a long non-coding RNA of Cryptomeria japonica (Japanese cedar), 299 nucleotides long. RefSeq lists it as uncharacterized. The transcript has 3 exons. Lineage: Eukaryota; Viridiplantae; Streptophyta; Pinopsida; Cupressales; Cupressaceae. The record is from RefSeq and is a predicted model, not a curated record.
GCCAUGUCGAUCAACUCAAAGGAAAAGACAACCCUUGCAUCACCCUCGCUACACAAGCAAGUCAUACCAAACAAAGGAGCUCUACCAAGGUCGAAUACAAUAAGAAAAAUAGCACUCCUUCACACGAGCACAUACGAAAAUGAUGCCUCACCAACAUGGAAGCUAGUGCACCGGAUGCCACCUCUCCACAAUAGCACACAAUAAAACGGUAAAGCUGGUGUUCCUCCACAUAUACAUUUAUCCUCAUAGCACAUUUUCAUUCAUUCACUCUAUAAGUUGCUCUUGUAUACAUUGAUCCU